Molecule: long non-coding RNA, 316 nt
Filed under: Anser brachyrhynchus (Pink-footed goose)
Lineage: Eukaryota; Metazoa; Chordata; Aves; Anseriformes; Anatidae
Description: lncRNA (ENSABRG00000020535.1)
Source: RNAcentral
GCCGCGCACCAACGGCCGCCGCUCCCCUCAGCGCAGCCUCGGGGGGCGGCGGCGGUGUCCCUCUACGCUGCCCGCGGCGGCGGCGCCGGCCGUGGCCGUCGUCGGGGCGGUCGCUGGCCCCAGUUGCCAGACGGCGAAGGGGGGACGCGGGGCUGCGGAUUAUUGCAGACUAAGCAGUCUGGCGCUGCAGCAGAGGGCGAGGGGGGGAGGCGGAUCAUGUAGAAAGGACAGAAAGUGAGCAGGGAGCGGGGGCUUUUGUCUAUCCUUGUGCUACCUGAGAGAAGCUGCAGUCCCAAGACCUUACAGUCUAAAAAUG